Molecule: ribosomal RNA, 271 nt
Filed under: Pseudomonas fluorescens
Lineage: Bacteria; Pseudomonadati; Pseudomonadota; Gammaproteobacteria; Pseudomonadales; Pseudomonadaceae
Description: partial 16S ribosomal RNA
Rfam family: Bacterial small subunit ribosomal RNA
Source: RNAcentral
CUGGAAGGGUGGUGGGGAUGACGUCAAGUCAUCAUGGCCCUUACGGCCUGGGCUACACACGAGCUACAAUGGUCGGUACAGAGGGUUGCGAAGCCGCGAGGUGCAGCUAAUCUCACAAAACCGUGCGUAGUCCGGAUCGCAGUCUGCAACUCGACUGCGUGAAGUCGGAAUCGCUAGUAAUCGCAAAUCAGUAUGUUGCGGUGAAUACGUUCCCGGGCCUUGUACCACACCGCCCGUCACACCAUGGGAGUGGGUUGCACCAGAACUAGCU